GCCGAGUUAGCUCAGUGGUAGAGCACGCCCAUGGUAAGGGCGGGGUCAUGAGUUCAAAUCUCAUACUCGGCUCCA
Molecule: transfer RNA, 75 nt
Filed under: Candidatus Saccharimonadota bacterium
Lineage: Bacteria; Candidatus Saccharimonadota
Description: tRNA-Thr
Rfam family: tRNA
About the family: Transfer RNA (tRNA) molecules are approximately 80 nucleotides in length.
Source: RNAcentral